CCUACGCGAGGCAGCAGUGAGGAAUAUUGGUCAAUGGACGAGAGUCUGAACCAGCCAAGUAGCGUGAAGGAUGACUGCCCUAUGGGUUGUAAACUUCUUUUAUAUGGGAAUAAAAUGUUCCACGUGUGGGAUUUUGUAUGUACCAUAUGAAUAAGGAUCGGCUAACUCCGUGCCAGCAGCCGCGGUAAUACGGAGGAUCCGAGCGUUAUCCGGCUUUAUUUGGUUUACAGGGAGCGUAGGUGGAUUGUUAAGUCAGUUGUGAAAGUUUGCGGCUCAACCGUAAAAUUGCAGUUGAAACUGGCAGUCUUGAGGACAGUAGAGGUGGGCGGAAUUCGUGGUGUAGCGGUGAAAUGCUUAGAUAUCACGAAGAACUCCGAUUGCGAAGGCAGCUCACUGGACUGCAACUGACACUGAGGCUCGAAAGUGUGGGUAUCAAACAGGAUUAGAUACCCUGGUAGUC
RNAcentral lists this ribosomal RNA (460 nucleotides) under uncultured bacterium. RNAcentral describes it as "partial 16S ribosomal RNA". It matches the Rfam family "Bacterial small subunit ribosomal RNA", at positions 338 to 795 of the family's 1533-position model. The record is from RNAcentral.